This 287-nucleotide ribosomal RNA is filed under the name uncultured bacterium. RNAcentral's name for it is "partial 16S ribosomal RNA". It matches the Rfam family "Bacterial small subunit ribosomal RNA", at positions 773 to 1060 of the family's 1533-position model. The record is from RNAcentral.
GUGGAUUAGAUACCCGGGUAGUCCAUGCCGUAAACGUUGGGCACUAGGUGUGGGGCUCAUUCCACGAGUUCCGUGCCGCAGCAAACGCAUUAAGUGCCCCGCCUGGGGAGUACGGCCGCAAGGCUAAAACUCAAAGGAAUUGACGGGGGCCCGCACAAGCGGCGGAGCAUGCGGAUUAAUUCGAUGCAACGCGAAGAACCUUACCAAGGCUUGACAUAUACCGAAAACUCAUGGAGACAUGGGGUCCGCAAGGGCGGUAUACAGGUGGUGCAUGGCUGUCGACAACU